CGAACGGGUGAGGAACACGUGAGAAACCUGCCUUUCAUUCUGGGAUAACACCGGGAAACCGGUGCUAAUACCGGAUACUCCGUCUUGGCGGCAUCGCCGAGCCGGGAAAAAAUUUGAUGAAAGAUGGUCUCGCGGCCUAUCAGCUAGUUGGUGAGGUAAUGGCUCACCAAGGCGACGACGGGUAGCCGGCCUGAGAGGGCGACCGGCCACACUGGGACUGAGACACGGCCCAGACUCCUACGGGAGGCAGCAGUAGGGAAUAUUGGGCAAUGGGCGCAAGCCUGACCCAGCGACGCCGCGUGAGGGAUGAAGGUCUUCGGAUUGUAAACCUCUUUCAGUAGGGAAGAAGCGAAAGUGACGGUACCUAAAGAAGAAGCACCGGCUAACUAUGUGCCAGCAGCCGCGGUAAUACAUAGGGUGCAAGCGUUGUCCGGAAUUAUUGGGCGUAAAGAGCUCGUAGGUCGUUUGUCGCGUCGAUUGUGAAAAUCUGAGGCUCAACCUCAGACCUGCAGUCGAUACGGGCAAACUAGAGUGUGGUAGGGGGGACUGGAAUUCCUGGUGUAGCGGUGGAAUGCGCAGAUAUCAGGAGGAACACCAAUGGCGAAGGCAGGUCUCUGGGCCAUAACUGACACUGAGGAGCGAAAGUGCGGGGAGCGAACAGGAUUAGAUACCCUGGUAGUCCGCACCGUAAACGGUGGGCACUAGUUGUGGGAACCUUCCACGGUUUCCGCGACGCAGCAAACGCAUUAAGUGCCCCGCCUGGGGAGUACGAUCGCAAGAUUAAAACUCAAAGGAAUUGACGGGGCCCCGCACAAGCAGCGGAGCAUGCGGCUUAAUUCGACGCAACGCGAAGAACCUUACCAAGGCUUGACAUAUAGCGAAAAGUGGCAGAGAUGUCAUGUCCGCAAGGGCGCUAUACAGGUGGUGCAUGGUUGUCGUCAGCUCGUGUCGUGAGAUGUUGGGUUAAGUCCCGCAACGAGCGCAACCCUCGUUCUGUGUUACCAGCAUUUAGUUGGGGACUCACAGGAGACUGCCGGGGUCAACUCGGAGGAAGGUGGGGAUGACGUCAAAUCAUCAUGCCCCUUAUGUCUUGGGCUGCACGCAUGCUACAAUGGCCGGUACA
This 1123-nucleotide ribosomal RNA is filed under the name uncultured bacterium. Its description in RNAcentral is "bacterial SSU rRNA". It matches the Rfam family "Bacterial small subunit ribosomal RNA", at positions 99 to 1241 of the family's 1533-position model. The record is from RNAcentral.